UGCUAGUCUCAGAUUGGGUGUCAUUACUGUCAAUGGAAAGAUAGAUGUCCUUGGGACUUUGGAGCAGGCAGUUUUGCUAUGGAGGAUACACAAGCACAAGUUAGCAUUAUGGAUUUAGUUGAGCAGAUCGAGAUUGAGAGUAUUGGAUAUCAUACAGCUUUGAGCAGAAUGUACUUGUACUGAAACCGAGUUUGUGUGUUGGACGAUAAGCUGUUAAGAAAAGAGAUCUUACGGCAAACACAUCACUCGUGUUUCUCUACCUAUCGGGAACACCAAAGGGUACAAAGAUAUGAAGAGUUAACUAUAAUUGGUGUAGUAUGAAGAGAGUGUAACUACAUUGCGUCGCGGUGUCAGACAUGUCAUAUGGCUAUUACAGAGGAGCAGUUAUCUAUCAUAUUAUUUUUGAGCUUGCUUUUGCCGGAGUGGAAAUGAGGCAUGGUGAUUUUGGACAUUGUUAUUGGAUUUUAAAUCACCAUAUGUGGAAAGGAUGCCACAUGGGUAGUCAUGGAUAGACUUACCAAGUCAGUCUAUUUUCUAAGUAAUUAAGAAGACAGUCAGAGCUAAUCUGUUAGAACAGACCUACAUUAUUGAGUUUGGGAGGUUUCAUGGAUGUCAACAUUGUAUCGGAUUGGGAAUCGAAGUUCACGUCCACAUUUCAGAGAGCCUUUCGGAAGGCGCUUGGGACAAAGGUCAUAUGAGUACAGCUUAUCACCCGUUGACAGAUUCUCAGUCAAAGAGGACUACUCAGAACUUAAAGGAUAUGUUAAGGAAUUGCAUCUUCCGGUGGGAUAGAAGUUCGAAAAGCAUAUACAUCUAACAAAGUUGCCUACAUCGACAACAAUCAUUGAGUAAUGAGAUAUUGCUAUAAGGGGUUAUUUAUGGUAGACCUUAUCGUAUACCACUUUGUUAUACCAAAGUGGGGGAGCAACAUGAGUUAGGAGUAUGAAUGGUUCAAGAGACGGUAGAGCAAAUGGACAUACUCAAGGAUUGGCUUUGGGAAGCCCAUGAUGUCAGAGGAUUUAUGCAGCUAAACGCCGUGAGGAUUUGGAGUUACAUAUGGGCGAUUUAGUAUACCUGAAAAUAAUGACAUUUCAGAGAGGAAUUAAGACCAAUAAGUUGAAGCAACUUAAACCGAGGUACAUUGGACUGUAUCCUUCGGUGGAGCAAAUUGAAACAGUUGAUUGCAGUUAUUUUAUCAGUAGUAUAUCAGCCUUCCAUGACUUGGUUCGUAUGACAGCAUUGCGAAAGUUGAGAAGGCGCCAUAAUUUAUUUUGUAGUAGACGUCAAGUGACUUCAGAAAGAUUUUAUGGACCUUAUCAUCUAUUGGAGAUUUUGGAUCAUCAAGUGAAAAUAAUUCGGGAAAUGUCGACCGUGUUUGUCCGAGUUCGUUGGGAGAAAGAGAAGACUCAGGAGGAGACCUGAAAGGCCCAGCGAGGAUUAGUAUUCGAGGUUUUGUUAUGACGACAUUGGGCAUAUCAGCUUAUGACUUGAAUUCGGGACGAAUUCCUUGUAAGUGGGGGAGAAUUGUAACGACCUUAAUACUCCCCAAAGGCCACAUUUGUUUUUUUUUAAAGUGAGAGAGAGAGAGAGAUAGAGAGAGAGAGAGAGAGAGAGAGAGAGAGAGAGAGAUUGGAGCCACCUGAGCUCGCCCUAGAACCACCGUACAUUGAGACUUCACCAAGCUUGUCACCACCGUUCGCCACAGCUGAGAAUCGCCAGAAACCGCUGCCUCUUAAGCUUUGUUUUCAUCCGUUCAGUAAAUCGGCCAUAACUUCUUAAACGCUGCGAAUAUCGUGCAUCCAAGGCCAUCAUCAUGUUCCUCUCGACGAGACGAAGCCGUAGCCGCCGACUGCGCCGCAAUCGGAGCCCAGAUGAGCCCGCACGCGCCUCCGCAAGUUUCGUCGUCCGAGCGCUUGACGGCCACGCGCCGCUGUCGGAAAUCGUCUCCGCCGCCGUCCUCCGCCGUAGUUCCGCCGUCGCCGCCGGGCAACUUUCCGAUUUGGAGUCCUUUUGAAUAGCUGGAGUUCAUAGAUACCACUUCUCUUCAUUGCUAAGGUGAGAUCGAUGAGCAGGAGUGAUCUUAUCGGACUUGGGCUUCUUGGUGCUAUUUGGGCUUUUGGGCUUUUACCACUAUCGGGCUUUGGACUUCUAUCACUCUUAUCGUUUUAUCGCUUUUGGGCCUUUGGGCUUCUAUCUAUCGUUUAUGUUUAUUUCUCAUUUCAGACUUUCGGUUUAUGUCGUACUUUAUAUUUCGGAUGUUAUCGUUAUCGGACCUUUUGACCUUAUGCUAUCGUAUUGACUUUUAUAUUAUGAUGGAGAUUAUUAUUAUUA
Molecule: long non-coding RNA, 2331 nt
Organism: Brassica napus (rape)
Lineage: Eukaryota; Viridiplantae; Streptophyta; Magnoliopsida; Brassicales; Brassicaceae
Exons: 3
Source: RefSeq, a predicted model, not a curated record